RNAcentral lists this unclassified non-coding RNA (656 nucleotides) under Hevea brasiliensis (rubber tree). The record is from RNAcentral. Lineage: Eukaryota; Viridiplantae; Streptophyta; Magnoliopsida; Malpighiales; Euphorbiaceae.
AAUUUUGAAGAGAAUGAUUUCCAGGUAUUUUUUGUCUUUCUUCUCAUGCCUUGAUCCAGUGCUUUGUGGUCAACUGAUCAAAGAAUGUUUUGUUACGAGUCACUUGAUAAAUGGAUGAAUCAUAUAAAGUAACUGCUUGGUUGAGCCUACAUGAGGCAAGAGAAGCAGUGGUGAGGAGAAGAAAAAAGAAAAUAACUAGUGAUCUCAUGUGCAUAAAUGCCUUGUCUGGGCAAGAAAUUAAAUUUUGAUUGGACUAAAUUGUCCUUGUGGCUAAUGCUCUAAAAUUGCCUUAUAUAUAUUUUUUUUAGAAAUAUUCUGAUCAACUACUACUAAUAGCAUUUUUCUUUACGCUCUUAAUAUGUUAGUUUCCAUUUAAAUCUUUUUUCCCUGGGACUGAAAUGAUGUUUAUAGAAUUAUUUAUACUAAUUAACAUAAAAAUUUUCAACUUCUUUCAAGACUAUUAGUUACUAAGAAAAUUUUUUAAAAAACAAAACAAAUAAGUUAAAAUUAGUCAUGAAAGAAUAAAAACAAAAACAAAAACAAAUCUUGUUCAAAAUUGAUAGAUCAAAAUUUGCAAUUUGGACCUUAUUACAUAGUAAUUGCUUUGGAGUACUGAACUUCAAAAGUUGCAACGUUCUGCAAUACUAAUGUGCGAU